Monodelphis domestica (gray short-tailed opossum) is the source of this 2631-nucleotide long non-coding RNA. The record is from Ensembl. Lineage: Eukaryota; Metazoa; Chordata; Mammalia; Didelphimorphia; Didelphidae.
CGGCCAUGUUUGAGAGCGACUUUGUCCAGGUGACCCCAGGCAGGCCAGUGGGCCCAGCUGGGGGAGGGCUGGGAGAUGAGAUGGGGGAGGGCUGGUCCUGGACACCCAGCACGCCAGAGUCCCCUGGGUUGCUUCCUUAGAUCAGAGCCCAGACUUUUCGGGAGGAGCACCCCGGGGAGCCUAGUGGAAGUGGAAGGGCAGCCGAGCGUCACCAUCCGGACCCUCUUCAGACGUAUUUCCAGCACUCUAAGCCGGUCCAAGGUACUAGGGAGGCUGGGACUGACUGUCAGGCCAGCUGGGCCCGGCCCAGAGGCCCGGCGUGACUCCUCCCCCCUGCCCUUGCCAGGCUGCCUCACCAGCGGAGACGUCCUCUUCAGGGCCCUCCAGGCCACCCUCCCAAGAGCACCCCCAGGAGAGGGGCACUGCCAACAACAUUUGGAGCUUGUGUAGGCAUGACUUAGACAGAAAAGGGGACACAACACGCAGAUUAGGGGAGCACAGAACAGCCUGCCUCUUAGACCUAGAAAGGUCUCGUGUCUCAAAUGACGAGAGAAUUGGUUUGCAAACUGUAAGGACUGAAUACUAUUUCUACCCAGAUAUUAUAUAUUUUAUAAGGUUUAUGGGAAAGGGUAGACAGCCAUUCCUGUAAGUAACCUGACCACGUGGGCCCUAGCCUGCAAGCCUCUUCCUCCUUCCCUUCACCUGUUCCCGGCUUCUUCCUAACUCCUUCUCUUCUCAGUUCUCUCCCUCUCAAGCCCCAAAGCCUCGACUUUUCUUGACCUACCGUAGCAUGUAGAGGGACCGAACCUGGCACAACUGUAUUAUCUCAGGAAUGUUUGAUGGACGGGUCAAGUGACUCAGAAGGGGGAGGGAAUGAACUUCCUUGACACAAAACAUACAAGAAGACAAGUCAUUCCCCAAUUGAUAAAUGGUCAAAGAAGAAGGUCAGGGAGGUUUGGAAGAACUCCAAGGGAUCUAGAAUCAUGGGAAAAACUGUUCCUCAAUCACUGCUGAUUAGAGAAAUGCACAUUAAGACACCUCUGAGGUAUCACCUCACACUUAACAGAAAUGACAAACACUGGAGGGAGUAAUGGAAAAAUAGGUAAACUAAGGAACUGCUGAUGAAGGAGCCAACGGAUCUAACCAAUUUGGAGAACAGUUUGAAACCAGGCCCAAAGGGCCAUCAAACAGCAUAUCCUUUGACUCAGUGAUACCACUCCUGGGUCUGUAUCCCAAAGACAUCAGAGAGAAUGGAAAAAGAAAACAACCCAUGUGGACACAAAUAUUUCUAGCAGCUCUUUUUGUGGUGGCAAAGAACUGGAAACUGAAGGGGUGUCCAUCAACUGGGGAAUGGCUGAACUAAUUGUGGUAAAUGAUGGCGAUGGAAUCCCGUUGUGGGUUUUAAAAAAUUUUUUUACCUUCUGCCUUAGAAUAGAUACUCCAUCUAGCAUGUUUCUUUGCUUCUGUCCUUGCACUUAUAAGAUGGAGCUAGUGCAUUUGGUCAGCUAACUGCUUCACAGAGUGUUAAAUUUAUUAAGAUUAGCAAAGUUUCAAGCUAGAUAGCACAGUAGAUAGAGUCAAGCCUAGACUAGGCUGGAGGUCCUAGGUUCAAAUCUGGCCUCAGACACUUCCUAGCUAUGUGUCCCUGGGCAAGUCACUUCACCCUGUAAGAAAACCCUCUGAGGACAGAUAAUAUACCAGAGGUGAAAGCGGGGAGAGGCAAAGAUGGGCACCUCAAAAUUUGGGGUACUUGAGGUUACAGAGAACCUCCCCCAAAAACCCCAUACUCUCUUCCGGGGCCUCUCACUCUUACAAAGAUAUCUGACUGCGUUAUUUAACUAAAGAUGAAUUUAAUAACAAGUUUGGAUUGGGAAGGUAUCAGGGUAGAGGGAAUAGGGAUUUCCCUAUACUUUGUCACAGAUGGGGUUUGAGUCUCUCUCAGCUUUUUGAACUGAGGUCAGGCCUCACAGGCUGGUGAAGGGUUUCUUUUAUUCCUGUCUAUGCUAAUCUAUGCUAGAUUUCUUAAAUUCAAAGUCUUUAGCAAUAGACAGCAAGAGGAAGAAAAUAGUCUGACUUUCAGAGCUGGUUGGGCCUGUCUCUUCAGGCUAGCACCCCUACAGACAGGCCUUAAGUUCCAGCUGCUCCCCUUAAAUCCCUUUGCUUGAUGACACGAUCCAUAGGAAUCCAGGUAGAGCACACAGUUGGGAAAAAUCUACAAAUAGAGGUACUUCUAUCCCGAGACAAGGAGAAAGCAUUCUUUCUAGUCCAAUGGCCAGGAAAGAGUCCCCUCAAGAGCAACUGUCACUCUCCAAGUCUCCCCCAACCCCCUCCAACUGCCUUCGCUGUCAAUAUCUUCACUCUAACAUUCCAACUUCUGUCUGCUCCACCUCAGUGACAGAAAUUCCAAAGCUUAAUUCAGUUUUCCUUUCCACAAUCCCCAUUUUUUUGUUGUGACCGUCCCAAGGUCACUUAUAUUUAUUAUGCUUACCAAGCUACUAAAUCUACUUUCUACCUACUCCCCCUAUUCUAUGCUAAUCUUAUCUAAUCUAAGGAAUUUUAUGCAGGAAAGUUUUGGGUAAGGGGGUAGUUUUGGGGUUUUACAAUAAAUUCAGUACAAUAAAUGUUUGAACA